AACCCAGUCAAUGAAUCUGCUUACCCAAAUGUGUUUCUGUAGAAAUUUAGAAAAUGCUGGCAAUAGGAAAGCCAUGUUACAGGCCUUAAAAACAUUGAAGUCAUUAAGGCCCUUGAAAAUGGCUAGAAGA
RNAcentral lists this small nucleolar RNA (130 nucleotides) under Balaenoptera musculus (blue whale). RNAcentral describes it as "Small nucleolar RNA SNORA33 (ENSBMSG00010010825.1)". It matches the Rfam family "Small nucleolar RNA SNORA33". From Rfam's summary of the family: ACA33 is a member of the H/ACA class of snoRNA that guide the sites of modification of uridines to pseudouridines. The record is from Rfam by way of RNAcentral. Lineage: Eukaryota; Metazoa; Chordata; Mammalia; Artiodactyla; Balaenopteridae.